RNAcentral lists this ribosomal RNA (263 nucleotides) under uncultured bacterium. Its description in RNAcentral is "partial 16S ribosomal RNA". It matches the Rfam family "Bacterial small subunit ribosomal RNA", at positions 92 to 353 of the family's 1533-position model. The record is from RNAcentral.
CGACCGGCGCACGGGUGAGUAACACGUAUCCAACCUGCCGUCUACUCUUGGACAGCCUUCUGAAAGGAAGAUUAAUACAAGAUGGCAUCAUGAGUCCGCAUGUUUACAUGAUUAAAGGUAUUCCGGUAGACGAUGGGGAUGCGUUCCAUUAGAUAGUAGGCGGGGUAACGGCCCACCUAGUCUUCGAUGGAUAGGGGUUCUGAGAGGAAGGUCCCCCACAUUGGAACUGAGACACGGUCCAAACUCCUACGGGAGGCAGCAUG